GCUGAUGCUAACAGCCAGGGCCAGUCCCUCCAGCUGGUCCCGUGUAAUGAGGCCAGGGCUCCUUAUCAGCUUCCAGGCGGCUGGGAUCUCAGGCAGGGUGUGCGUCAGCCCUCCAACCCCCGGAGGGGCGCCUGCUGGGGAGAGGACCAGGAGGCCACACCUGGGGGAGCGUGCAGCCAGCAUGCGCAGUGGUCAGCUCCAGGCCAGUGGAAAGUUACUGCGAGGAGAUGGGAAAGCUCUGGGAGGAUAGCAGGACCCUCCUUUGGCUUCGCUCUCUGGGGUCCUCUUCUCUCUCUCCAGGGCUGGGAGCUCCAUCUGCCCCGGGAAGGGUGACGAGGUGUACUAACUGUUCCUUCCCAACCCCAUCCCUCCCUGCCCUUCCUACUCGCUUUUAAGAAGCACUGCAGAAGUAUUCGAAGGUUUGUUCCAUCUUGGGGAUUCGAAGAGAAAAGGAGCCAAGAACUGGCAGGUGGUGUGUGUGCGGCAAAAGCACUGGGGGCAUGGGUGGGAUGCCCACUGUGUGCUGGUCUAAACGAACCCAUCGCAGUGACCCCCCAGAGGCAGCACUCCACUCAUGUGGGUCGCAGAGGGAAAAGUCGAGGGGCUCAGAAAGGCUCGGUAAUGUGUCCCAGGUCAUACGGCUAGCUAGUGGCGGGCCUGGGGUUCAGACCCACAGCUGCCUCACGCAAACAGGGUAUGACACUUGCCUCUGUGCCUGGGCGGGGGCCGGAAUGAGACCACAUGGGAGCCCAGAGAGGGAGGUGGUCAGGCCCUGUUGUCCUUGGGGAUUUCUUGUCCUCCGCGCCACCCCGGCCUCCUAUCUCUCCCAAAACCUCUCGCCAGGUUUUGCACACUGAGGUUUCUACCAUCCAGACAUGAGCUGGGAGGCAAGAUUUCUGGUUUCUGGUUCCUAGCCCCACUGCCAGCGGGCUCCUGGUAUUACAUGAGGGUUUCUUGCUGUCUGGGAUUCAGUUUUUCCAUCUGCCACAUGGAAGUUCAUAGCCAGGAUGGGGCUCGAGAGGCACCAGAACACCUCUCCACGGACUUCCUCUCCCGGCUCCCACUCCUCCACCUCCUCUCCUCCCAGCCCCUCGGUUUCCUCUCAUCACUGGCCUCAGUUCCAGAGGAGUCAGCCCCAGCACCUCACUGUCCUGCCACUGUCAGAUGGCCUUGGUCAUGCUUCCUAGAAUCUACUGGUCCAAGUUCUCCUUUCCCUGGGAUAAGUUAUGCAGAAACUGGGGAUUUAGAAACUUAUUCAGGGCUGAGUGCCAAAGGCCCGGGGGAGAAGGAGCAGGCCCUCGGCCAUAAACAGUGAACCGCACACGUCACAGCCAUUUGAGAAAUGGCUUAUUUGCGAGCUGGGGAGGCUGGGCAGAAGAUGCCGAAGGCUCCUACUCCUGGUGCCUGAGCAGAGGGGUCCCAGGUAUCACAGUGUCGGCAGCAGAGUCCAGGCCAAAGUCUACGCGUUCCAUCUCCAGGCAGUGGGGAGCCCGGAAACACCAGGAGAGGUGUCGGAAGGAGGAAGGGUGGGGAACAGGAAUGCAGGAUUACAGGAAACCGCAGCUGAGCAGAUGUCACAGCUGUAGAGGAGGAAGGGAACCUGCGGGCCCCUCACAUUUUUGGCCUGGGUGGGGCUGGGCCUGGGAAGGGGUGGGCUAGGUUUUGUAAAGCUGGAGGCAGCCAGGAAUCUGAUCAUCUGCAAUGUGACGUGAGGGGUCUCCCACUGAAGUCCUCUCCUAGAAGUGGCAGAUGGGGGCUAGGGAGGCACGCGCGAGUCUGGAACUCAUUCCCGGGGAACACCUAUGGCUACUUCUGUAUCACCUGGGGAAGCCCCAGAAUCUUAGUUCUUCCAUUCUCUACUCUUUCUUCCGAAGGAGUCAGGAUAGGACAGACACCUGUUUUCCAAAAGGCUGGUACCUCCCUCCCUGGCCCACCUGAGGCAAAGUCCCAGGUGUCCUAGCUGCUCUCCUGGAUGGGUUGGGAUUUUGAACAAGCACUUUUCUGCCCUCUGGUGGCUGCUUGAGGAAACGCGGAGCCUGGGUGGGAGCAUCACCAAGGGCCCAUGUGACUGGAGGCUGGGGCAGGAUCGGGCCACCAGCUCUUCUCAGACAGCCCUAGACUCAUCUUCUCAUCAGCCACCACUGAGCCCUUUUGCUGAAUGAUGGUUGCAUCUCUCAGACACAGUGUACCUCCACCUGAGCCCUCCUGAGUGCCUGAGGGCAGACACAGCUCCAGGGACCUGGCCCUGCUGCCAUACCCCAGACACUCCUGCUGUCCACUGGCCUCAGCUCCUGCAAGCAACCCCCUGUCUGCGCCUUUUCCCUUCCCUGGCCUUGCCUUCCUGGGGUCUGUGACUGACUGGAGAUAAAAAUAAAAGCAAUUCUGACACUGGA
Molecule: non-coding RNA, 2393 nt
Organism: Saimiri boliviensis boliviensis (Bolivian squirrel monkey)
Lineage: Eukaryota; Metazoa; Chordata; Mammalia; Primates; Cebidae
Source: RefSeq, a predicted model, not a curated record